CUUGAAGACAGCUCAUUGUAACUACUGGGGUUGAAUUUUUAAAACCUCGGGAACAAAGGCUGGCUAUUUUAAACUCUCCUUGCACUUAGUUCAAUGGAGAGUGUUAGAGGCACUGACCACACCCGGGCAUCACUCCCGAGCUCGGCAAUUCAGAAUUUGUGUAGCAUCUCAGGACACGAGCACGGCCUGCCAAGGCAGAUAACCACGGCCAGCUCUGCCUACCCUAGAGGCAGCGGGCCUCUUCUGGGCCAAAGCUCUCACCCCCAGGGAGGAGUCAAGGGAGGCUGCAUCCUAUGGGGUCUCUCAGCCUCCCCCUCCUGGAAAAUUAACUUGCACACAGCUAUUGUGAACCAAGGUUAUAUCACCUCUCUCUCUGCCUCCCCCUACAGGCUGCAAAGAGGGACAGCGCCCUCCAGCGGAUGCCUGCCCAGGACAGCCGGCACUAGCAGACCCAUCUCCAGGCCGGAACAAGGGUGUCCUGGAGCUCGUGGUAUAAAUGUCCCUGAGGACAGUGGGAGAGCGGCACCCCGGAGCUUCUCUUGCCCCCAGCCCAAAUGCACCUCUACCAAGACUGCUCAGUCUCUCCAGGCACCAGAACCAUGGUGGGGAAGGGAGACAUGGGUUUUUUCAAUGCCUCCCACGUCCUUAUUUGAGCAAAAAGCACAGAGCCAUAUUCUUGAACAAUGUGGAAAAAUUAAAAAAGAAGAAGCUCCCAGGUGGCUGGAACAAGCCGUGGAGCUGAGGCCAGGCAAAUGGGACCCCAGGAAGAAGUUGAGGACAUGUCCCCAGCCUGGUGUCCAGGCAUUUUCAAGCACAGGAUGCAGAUUUGUCAGAGUCCAUCAACAUUCAGGCCAGUCUUUGGCAUGGCCACAGAGAAAUCCCCCAGGGGCACCACAAGCAUUCUGUGAACCCUGCAGCAAUGUCCAGACCGUCAAAGAAACUAAUUUUAAGAUAAUCUCCAUGGAAACCAUCUAUUCUGAUUUUUGCCAUGGUAACCGAUGA
Molecule: long non-coding RNA, 1002 nt
Filed under: Mustela putorius furo (domestic ferret)
Lineage: Eukaryota; Metazoa; Chordata; Mammalia; Carnivora; Mustelidae
Description: lncRNA (ENSMPUG00000030065.1)
Source: RNAcentral